This 409-nucleotide ribosomal RNA is filed under the name uncultured prokaryote. RNAcentral describes it as "bacterial SSU rRNA". It matches the Rfam family "Bacterial small subunit ribosomal RNA", at positions 355 to 774 of the family's 1533-position model. The record is from RNAcentral.
UGGGGAAUAUUGCACAAUGGGCGCAAGCCUGAUGCAGCAACGCCGCGUGAGGGAUGACGGCCUUCGGGUUGUAAACCUCUUUUGUCAAGGAAGAAGCUUUCGGGUGACGGUACUUGGGGAAAAAGCACCGGCUAACUACGUGCCAGCAGCCGCGGUAAUACGUAGGGUGCAAGCGUUGUCCGGAAUUAUUGGGCGUAAAGAGCUCGUAGGCGGUUUGUCGCGUCUGCCGUGAAAUCCUCAGGCUCAACUUGAGGCGUGCGGUGGGUACGGGCAGGCUAGAGUGCGGUAGGGGAGAUUGGAAGUCCUGGUGUAGCGGUGGAAUGCGCAGAUAUCAGGAGGAACACCGAUGGCGAAGGCAGAUCUCUGGGCCGUAACUGACGCUGAGGAGCGAAAGCAUGGGGAGCGAACA